AAAAAAUUCUUUGGGUUUUAAUAUUCUUUGCUUUGUGUAUUUGCAUAAGCUAGUCAGCAGGCAGAGCUCUCUUCUCUCAUGCUAAACAAACACUGAGCUGAUCUGUGCAGGCAGAAGUCGAGGGUAUUUAAGAGGAGCUGGUGUAGUGUGUGUGUGUGUGUCAGGACUGCAGCGUAUUAUGUGUGUGUGAAUCAGAGAAGGUUUGUUAGCCUGCGGGCGGUCCGGUCUGGGGACAGCAGGAAGUAUCUGCACUAUGCAUCUCGCCAGCUCACUAAGCCCUGUGAGUAUUCAUAAAGUUCUGAUCCAAGGAAAACAGAUUACAGAUCUUGUUCUCUUUCUUUGCCUCUGCCUGCCACAAUUAUUCCCCCUGUGCUAUUUGAGGUAAAAUCAUCCCUUUCGACACACACUUUGCCCUCGAUGGGAACUCAAAAUAACAUAGCGCGAUGCAAACCAGACCAACGUGCUGGAAAAAAUGGAAAGGGUGUGAAAAAGAACAGACAGAGGGAUGUAAAAAGAGAAGGGCACGGGAAUGAACGAAGACCUGGAGAAAGUGAAAGAGACGGGGGAAUGGAAGAACAAAGGACAGAAAUCCAACAAAGGCAAAUCACAGAGGUCCCAGUCUUCAGGACAGAAUGGCCUGCUUUAUGCAAGUAUACAGCAAUAACUAAAUACAGCAAGACCUCUGACCUCACCCCUAAUGAUAGUGUAAUGAGAGAAGAGGGCUCAUUGAUGGAUCCAUGUAGAAGAUUUGGGGUUCUACAUGAACACCAUCCUGCCCAUCUGUCAGAUGCCACUGAGCGACCUUUCCUGCAGAAAUCUACUCUUCUAUUUAUCUGGAAAAAGGGAGUGGAGUUUUUUCACGAUGUUCUUGUCUAACGGUAAAAGCAGGUAAGGAAUUCUCUGCAGCGGGUGAAGUGUUGAGAUGCAGGUCACAUUCGAAUGUACAGAAGAGUGGGUGAAUUCCAGGGUCCCCAGACAAUGGAGCCACUGUUGAGAUAAAGCUAUUUCACAUGGCCCGGGCGGGGCAGAGGGGAGGGGCCUGGAGGUGCAUUGACAGCUCAUGUCAUCCCACCCCUGUCUGCGUUUAUUUUUCAGAGUCAUAGAGUCAUUUCAGCAUGGUGGAGGCAGGAUGGUGAUGUUCGCUGACACACACAUACAGACACACAAACUCAAGCCUGACUUGAGUGCCAGAACCUAGCUGAUAUCCCACAACAAUCCAAUUGAAAUUUGUUGGUGUGGAAAUCCACCUCCAAAAAAAAUAAAAAACAGGUUAUGUUUUUUUUAGUAUUCA
Cyprinus carpio (common carp) is the source of this 1291-nucleotide long non-coding RNA. NCBI's taxonomy places the organism in Eukaryota, Metazoa, Chordata, Actinopteri, Cypriniformes, Cyprinidae. The record is from Ensembl.